UGGCGGCAUGCCUAAUACAUGCAAGUCGAACGAGCUUCCGUUGAAUGACGUGCUUGCACUGAUUUCAACAAUGAAGCGAGUGGCGAACUGGUGAGUAACACGUGGGAAAUCUGCCCAGAAGCAGGGGAUAACACUUGGAAACAGGUGCUAAUACCGUAUAACAACAAAAUCCGCAUGGAUUUUGUUUGAAAGGUGGCUUCGGCUAUCACUUCUGGAUGAUCCCGCGGCGUAUUAGUUAGUUGGUGAGGUAAAGGCCCACCAAGACGAUGAUACGUAGCCGACCUGAGAGGGUAAUCGGCCACAUUGGGACUGAGACACGGCCCAAACUCCUACGGGAGGCAGCAGUAGGGAAUCUUCCACAAUGGACGAAAGUCUGAUGGAGCAAUGCCGCGUGAGUGAAGAAAGGUUUCGGCUC
This 415-nucleotide ribosomal RNA is filed under the name Levilactobacillus brevis. RNAcentral's name for it is "bacterial SSU rRNA". It matches the Rfam family "Bacterial small subunit ribosomal RNA", at positions 37 to 424 of the family's 1533-position model. Lineage: Bacteria; Bacillati; Bacillota; Bacilli; Lactobacillales; Lactobacillaceae. RNAcentral also lists the same sequence under 1 other name. The record is from RNAcentral.